GACGAACGCUGGCGGCGUGCCUAAUACAUGCAAGUCGAACGCUUCUUUCCUCCCGAGUGCUUGCACUCAAUUGGAAAGAGGAGUGGCGGACGGGUGAGUAACACGUGGGUAACCUACCCAUCAGAGGGGGAUAACACUUGGAAACAGGUGCUAAUACCGCAUAACAGUUUAUGCCGCAUGGCAUAAGAGUGAAAGGCGCUUUCGGGUGUCGCUGAUGGAUGGACCCGCGGUGCAUUAGCUAGUUGGUGAGGUAACGGCUCACCAAGGCCACGAUGCAUAGCCGACCUGAGAGGGUGAUCGGCCACACUGGGACUGAGAGACGGCCCAGACUCCUACGGGAGGCAGCAGUAGGGAAUCUUCGGCAAUGGACGAAAGUCUGACCGAGCAACGCCGCGUGAGUGAAGAAGGUUUUCGGAUCGUAAAACCCUGUUGUUAGAGAAGAACAAGGACGUUAGUAACUGAACGUCCCCUGACGGUAUCUAACCAGAAAGCCACGGCUAACUACGUG
This 508-nucleotide ribosomal RNA is filed under the name uncultured bacterium. Its description in RNAcentral is "partial 16S ribosomal RNA". It matches the Rfam family "Bacterial small subunit ribosomal RNA", at positions 28 to 507 of the family's 1533-position model. The record is from RNAcentral.